GAUAAGGAAUAUUUGUGCUAAGCAUAAUGAGUUCAAGCUGAAAGAAUUUGAAUGAAUUGAAGUGUGUGAAUUUUAUUACCAAGCCAAGUGAGCUACUAUCAUUGACAUUCAGAAAUGAGCAUGAUGAAAAUGGUAAGGUCGUGAAUAACAAGGGUAAACUUAUAGCCCAAGGUUUCACAACAAAAAAGGUGGCUGAAUUCGAGAUGAGCAUGAGGGAGAAUUAACAUUCUUCUUCAAGCUCCAUGCCAAGGAAGAAAAUGUCAUUAACUAAGCCAAAUGCACAAAGGGGCAAUUCAAAAGAUUUGGUGGGAAGAAUUCAAUAGUCACAAAAUUUUGGACAAGGAUAAAAGUUGUGGACAACAAAAGCAAAAAUGGUUUAUGUCACUUGUUUUGAAAGUUUAUUUGCGCAAUGAAAACAAAUCUCUUCAGCCCCAUCUAUAGCGGAAGGUGGAUACAUCUCCAUGAGAAAAUAUUUCCUCAUAUGAGGGAAGAAAUUGGUAUUACUAAUGAUAUUUCUUGUAUCCUUUCAUGGUAAAAAUGAUCAUCUUGGUUCUAUGUGCUUAGUAUUUGUGUGUUUCCAAGUAUAUCUUGCAAUCUACCUAAGGUUCUAGAAAGCUACAGAUAUUUUUGAAUCAAUUCAAAUAUCGUUUUCUAUUA
Molecule: non-coding RNA, 657 nt
Organism: Nicotiana tabacum (common tobacco)
Lineage: Eukaryota; Viridiplantae; Streptophyta; Magnoliopsida; Solanales; Solanaceae
Source: RefSeq, a predicted model, not a curated record